Hippopotamus amphibius kiboko is the source of this 4830-nucleotide long non-coding RNA. RefSeq lists it as uncharacterized. The record is from RefSeq and is a predicted model, not a curated record. Lineage: Eukaryota; Metazoa; Chordata; Mammalia; Artiodactyla; Hippopotamidae. The transcript has 4 exons.
ACCUACUCUCUCCACAACUAAGUUUCCACACCUGUGAAAUGCGAACAAUUAGAGCAUCUACUUUGUCAUAUUGUCAUGAAGAUUUCAUGGGAUGGUACAUGUUAUGCACAAUGAAAAACCCAACAAAUGGUAGAAAUUAAUACCCUAGAAGGCAUUUAUUGUACCCUUUUUACAGAUGAGGAAAUUAAGCCUCAGAGAGGCUAAAGGGCUGCAGUCUCACAAUUGGUUAGUAAGAAAGCCAAGGUUCAGCUCAGCCUCCUAGCGCCACAACCAGGGCACUUGCCUCUUCACUGCUGGUGUAGAUGAUUGAAGAUGGCUCUGGGCCAUAGGUCAGAAGGGUCUGUCCCUAGCAUCAUGGAAUGACAUUAUUUAUUAAGCCCUCACAUGCUCAAGGUACUGGGAAAUGGAUGCUUCAGGGGUGAGGUAGGCUUUCAUGUGCAGCUUUUUUAUCAAGCAGUCUUUACACAGACACCAGCUAGGAAAUGAAGCCUGGAGCUAAGCCCUAACCCAAGCCCAGGGAAGCUGGGCUCGGGGGUUAGGUCAGAAGUCCUAGAAUAUUCUCAACUUUCCUUCCCUUUGGCAAUGCUUCCUUGAUGCUCUAAGAAUACUUUGUUUACGCUGAUACUAGAGCCUUCUUCAUACCCUCUCAGUUAUAGUAUUUUUGAGUAUCUGUCUGAUUUCCCUUUGGAAUGGUGGCUCCAAAGCAGGGUGCCUAAGAUGAUACACUGAGAUGUGGAAAGGAAAUAUUUGAACACUUGCUUCUAUUUAUUCUUUAAUCUAAAGUACUAGGGAAUACUAAGCUUUACCAAUAUUUAAAAAUUAGUAGAGUAUAACACAUAUACUUUAUAAUAAAUAUGCAAUUAUUAGGAGUACCUGCUUAAUAUUUUUGAUGGCGUGGAAUGAUGAAAAGAAUUUGGACAUAACUGUUCUAGAAAGCAAGCCCCUCGAGGGCAAGAAAUGUAUUUAGCUCUGAUUUGUAUCCCACCUUCAUCCCUAGUAUCCAGCACUUAACCAUUCCCCAAACAAAUGAAUUUGGCAUCUUUAUGAACUUCGUUGACUUUCUUUGCUUUUUUCUCCUCCUUUAGUCACCCAUCUGAUAUAAUCCCAUGUCCUGUUCAACAUUCUGCCAAGAUUGAGCAAAUAAUAAAGCUGUGCUUGAGAAGUGAAGAGUGCAAGUGCCAUGAGCAGGAUGAAAAGAACAAGACUGAAAUACAAAUAAAAGCAAAAACAAACAAGUGGAGCAUAAUCAAACCUAUAAGCUUUUGCAGAAGAAACCAUAAACAAAACAAAAAGCCUACAGAAUGGGAGAGAAUAUUUGCAAACGAUGCUACUGAUAAGGGACUAAAUUCCAAAAUAUACAGAUAGCUCAUACAACUCAAUAACAAAAAACAAAAACAAAAAACAAAAAUACAAGCAACCGAAUCAAAAAGUAGGCAGAGACCUAAAUAGACAUUUCUCCAAAGAAGACAUACAGAUGGCCAAUAUACAUGAAAAGGUGCUCAACAUUGCUAGCUAUUAGAGAAAUACAAAUCAAAACUAUGGUGAGGUACCACUUCACUCUGGUCAGAAUGGCCAUUAUUAAAACAUCUACAAAUAAUAAAUGCUGGAGACAGUGUGGAGAAAAGGGAACUCUCCUACACUGUUGGUGGGAAUGUAAAUUUGUGCAACCACUAAUGAAAACAGUAUGAAUGCUCCUUAAAAAACUAAAAAUAGGGACUUCCCCGGCGGUCCAGUGGUUAAGGCUCUGAGCUUCCAAUAUGGGGGAUACAGGUUUGAUCCCUGGUUGGGGAACUAAGAUCCCACAUGCCUCAUGGGGCAGCCAAAAAAAAAAAACUAACUAAAAAUAGAGUUAUCAUACGAUCCCACAAUCCCACUCCUGGGUGUAUAUCCAGAAAAGAUGAAAAUACUAUUUCAAAAAGAUACAUGCACCCCAAUGUUCACUGCAGCACUAUUUACAAUAGGAAGCAACCUAAAUGUCCAUUGACAGAUGAAUGGAUAAAGAAGAUGUGGUGCAUAUAUACGAUGGAAUAUUACUCAGCUGUAAAAGAGAAUGAAAUAAUGCCAUUUGCAGCAACAUAGAUGAACCUAGAGAUUAUCCUACUAAGUGAAGUAAGUCAGACACAGAAAGACAAAUAUCAUAUGAUAUCACUUACAUGUGGAAUCUAAAAAAAUGAUACAAAUGAACUUAUUUACAAAACAGAAACAUACUCACAAAUAUAGAAAACAAACUUAUGGUUACCAAAGAGGAAAGAGGGAGGGUGAUAAAUUAGGAGUUUGGGAUUAGCAGAUACGAACUACUAAGUAUAAAAUAGAUUAAACAACAAGAUUCUACUGAUUGGCACAGGGAACUAUAUUCAAUCUCCUGUUAUAAACCAUAAUUGAAAAGAAUAUGAAAAAGUAUAACAUAUUGUUAUAGUAUAUAUAACUGAAUCACUUUGCUGUACACCAGAAACUAACACAUUAUAAAUCAACUAUACUUCAAUUAUAGAUAAAUAAACAAAGACUGAAAGUCCCAAAGAAGAUAGUUAAUGGUAGUUUAAGGUAGACAACAGGCAAGAGUAAAACAUCAUGGAAGAACCACGGGCACAAAGCCAGGCAUGGAGCACCAGCUCUGCUAACUGAGAAAUCAGUGUUGGUUUGAGCAUCUGAAUGUUUUCAAACUGAGCACCAUCCUCCCUCUUCCUCCUAAAGCUUCAGAAAACAAUGCAAUACAAUACGAUGAGCAAGGAUCUUGGAGGAGUCUCAACUCUGUCACUCUCCUUGGCUGAGUGAUCUUGGGUGAGGCCUCUAACCUCUUCCCCCUCCUCUCCUCCCAGGAAAAGAGCUCUUUACCUACAAAUGAGGUUGGACUAGAUGAUUAUGGAGGUCCCUUCACGCUCUGAAGCAACCCCAAAUAUAGAUGAAGUUGGUGGUUUUCUACAUGAGACAACCACACUUUGAGGGGCACCAUGAGGCCCAGCUGGACCAAAAACAUCACCUUACCACCAAGCCUUGCAUGUGUAAAUUCCAGGAGGGCAGGAACCGUGUCAGUUUUGUUUACCACCUCAUGCUUGGCAUUCAACACAGUCCCGUGAACAAGUGAACUGUACUCCACUAUAGUACUUUGCUCUCCCAGCCAUCAUGCAGUGAAAUUAUAGUUGAGACCUGUUAAGCGCUUGAGUCCAACUUCAGAGGCACCUGAGAAGAGGAGGGAAAGGACAGAUCUACCCUACAGUGAUGAGGAACCAAAGCUGGAAGAAUUGAUCUAACUUGAGAGACGGCCCAUGAUUAGCAAAUGUCAUCCCUGGACUAAAGCCCCUGGCUCCCUGACUCCUAGUUCAGCUGUCUUUCUAUCAUUUCCAUAAUGGGAGCUGAGCAAAGAUAAUUGAAAACGCAUUUAUCUCUGGUUUUCUAAAGCUUGAGAGCGCUGAAAUUAAAAGAGAGGAGGAGGCUGAAGUGGGGUGAAAGGUGUAAAAAAGCAGAUUUACUUACCCGGUUUCACAUUACUUUCCUGAGUUUACAUUGCUUGAACACACACACACUGAUGCUGGAGGGAAGUGGUAGAGCGUAGCCAACAUGGGAUUAAAGACCGCAUUACAUCAAUCCACAAAGUAAAUAAUCUACAUGUACACAAUGGAAGGGAGUGUGACAGGGUAUCUUUUUUGUCCUCUCACAUAUAGCUCUUUAAGUCUCCUCAGACCAUCUCAGACCUAGACUAAUUUUCCAGGAGGUCCUCCAUAAACCUUUUCUUCAGAGUUCCGAGCUUGCUAGUGGGUAGAUUUGGCAGAGAAGUGCAAACUAAAGAGGUUAUGCAUAAAAAAAAUCACUUGUGACCUGAAAAUUAUUUCAGUGUGGGAUUGGGGCUCCACGUGGUUGAGUAGAAAGAGCCCUGGGCCAGAGACGGGAUGCCUGACUGCUUCCCCAGCCCUGCCACUAACUAGCUGGGGAGCCCCAGAAGAGGAAGUUAACCUCUCUGCGCAUCUGUAAUGUAACCUAUAAAAUGCCAUCAAAAACCCUUAUCACAUUUCAUUUUCCUUUAUCCUCACAAGAACUCCCUAAGGUAGAUAGUUCUCUUCCCAUAUUAGAGGUGAAGAAAUAGAAACUUAGAGAAUUGUGACUUGCCCAAUAUCAUUCAGCUAGUAAGGGGCACAAUCUGAUAAAAAUUGGACUUUUGAGCACAGAAUGUUCUCCUAACCUCCCAGAUAGACUACCUAUAUUUUGAGGGGAGAAAUGGAUAUUAAAGUUUCAAAGCACUUUAAAGGGGUUUAGACAAAUAUUUAUUACAAUCAUUCUGGGGGGUUAUAAUCCUCAGGAGGCACCUGUCCUCAAGUCGUUUUCAGCUCAUUGACUUUCUUAUUCAUUGCUUUUCAUGUGGAUCUGUGAGUAUCAAACCACACUUAUCCUCUUUCACCUCAUUUGUUUUUGUUGUCCUUUCUCCUCCCACAGUGGCUGCUUUCAGAGGGGAGCCAGCACCACUUCUUGCCAAGUGAAGGAGUCUAAGUGCAGGAAGCCACACUCACACACUCACAAGCAGGCACACAAAUGCCCACACUCAGCAACGCACGCACGUGCACACACAUGUAUUCCUAUUAGUUUGUUACACACAUCCAUGGUUUCAGAACUUGACAAUUUAAGAGUCUGUCGUUAUUAUGACAGUGCAUAUGUCAUGUAUAAAUAAUUUCCCAGAAUUGGGCUUUGAAGUGAAAAAUGCUAUGAUAAAGUGAUAGAAAGUGAAGGGAUAUUUAACAAGGAGAACACCAAGAAACUUAGAACCUUGAAUUCUGCUCUAAGCUUAUGAAUUUCUCCCAGCUCACUCAGCCUCCUUGAGAGACCCUUACCCUUGGUGGGCAA